Molecule: unclassified non-coding RNA, 363 nt
Filed under: uncultured bacterium
Lineage: Bacteria
Description: contains 16S-23S intergenic spacer region
Source: RNAcentral
UCCCUGUUACCAGGGCAGUCUAGCUAGAAAAAUACAACUAACUACAAGGGUUGCGCUCGUUGAUGGACUUAACCAAACAUCUCACGACACGAGCUGACGACGGCCAUGCAUCACCUGUCACUUGGUUCCUUACGGCACAGUAUCCUUUCGGAUGCUCUCCAAGGAUGUCAAGCCUGGGUAAGGUUCUUCGCUUACCAUCGAAUUAAACAACACGCUCCACCGCUUGUGCGGGUCCCCGUCAAUUCCUUUAUGUUUUAGUCUUGCGACCGUACUCCACAGGCGGGAUGCUUAACGCGUUAGCUUCGCUACAAGAAGGGUCGAUACUUCUUACAGCUAGCAUCCAUAGUUUACGGCGUGGACUAC